RNAcentral lists this transfer RNA (71 nucleotides) under Candidatus Peregrinibacteria bacterium RIFOXYC2_FULL_33_13. RNAcentral describes it as "tRNA-Glu". It matches the Rfam family "tRNA". Rfam says of the family: Transfer RNA (tRNA) molecules are approximately 80 nucleotides in length. Lineage: Bacteria; Candidatus Peregrinibacteriota. The record is from RNAcentral.
GGCGCCAUCGUCUAGCGGUUAGGACAUUGCCCUCUCACGGCGAAAACAGGGGUUCGAUUCCCCUUGGCGCU